GUUGACAUGUUGUAACCAAGGAGCCGCCAUGUUGACUUGCUGAAAUCAGUAAAUGUGCGAAUAAUGCAAUAGAACAGAAAACAAGCAACACCUACCUCAAUACUUUAUUUUAAUGCAAUUGUAUCCGAGUUUAGAAGGUAAACGCAAUAGAAAAACCUUCAGCUUUGACGUUUUCAUUCGUAUGACGUCAUGUUUUGAAAUGACGUUAAUGCGCAAAAAUCAUUACUGGAAUUUCGCGGAAUUUUAAUUUAUUUUGUCCAUUUUUCCGUUCUCUAAUGUGUAAAUUCUUUUUGUUAUGCAUCAGAAUCAGAAUAAAU
RNAcentral lists this long non-coding RNA (317 nucleotides) under Mytilus galloprovincialis (Mediterranean mussel). Lineage: Eukaryota; Metazoa; Mollusca; Bivalvia; Mytilida; Mytilidae. The record is from RNAcentral.